This 497-nucleotide ribosomal RNA is filed under the name uncultured bacterium. RNAcentral describes it as "partial 16S ribosomal RNA". It matches the Rfam family "Bacterial small subunit ribosomal RNA", at positions 28 to 507 of the family's 1533-position model. The record is from RNAcentral.
GAUGAACGCUGGCGGCGUGCCUAAUACAUGCAAGUCGAGCGAACGGACGAGAAGCUUGCUUCUCUGAUGUUAGCGGCGGACGGGUGAGUAACACGUGGAUAACCUACCUAUAAGACUGGGAUAACUUCGGGGAACCGGAGCUAAUACCGGAUAAUAUUUUGAACCGCAUGGUUCAAAAGUGAAAGACGGUCUUGCCGUCACUUAUAGAUGGAUCCGCGCUGCAUUAGCUAGUUGGUAAGGUAACGGCUUACCAAGGCAACGAUGCAUAGCCGACCUGAGAGGGUGAUCGGCCACACUGGAACUGAGACACGGUCCAGACUCCUACGGGAGGCAGCAGUAGGGAAUCUUCCGCAAUGGGCGAAAGCCUGACGGAGCAACGCCGCGUGAGUGAUGAAGGUCUUCGGAUCGUAAAACUCUGUUAUUAGGGAAGAACAUAUGUGUAAGUAACUGUGCACAUCUUGACGGUACCUAAUCAGAAAGCCACGGCUAACUACGUG